AUGUACUUCAUUGUUGUUGAUGAUUUAUGGACAGCAUCAGUAUGGGAUAUUAUUAGCCGUGCUUUUCCUUAUGGUGAUUGUUGCAGUAGAGUACUGACAACCACACAGAUUGAAGAUGUAGCACUGGCAUGUUCUGGUUAUGAGUCAGAGUACAUAUUUAACUUGCAACCUCUUAAUAAUGGUGAAUCUCGGAAAUUAUUCUUCGAUACUGUUUUUGGCUCUGAAAGUGAAACUGGUUGUCCUGAGGAGUUCGAAGUAGUUGUGGAUAGGAUUAUCAGGAAAUGUGGUGGUUUACCCUUAUCAACUCUAAAUAUAGCAAGCCUGUUGCUCCCAAGCAAACCAAACCCUGCAUUUCAGCAGUGGGAGAAGGUAGAAAGUUCUCUACCCUCCACUUUGAGGACAAAUCCUACUUCCAGUGGGAUGAAAGAUGUUAUAAUCCUUGUAUAUGAUAAGCUUCCACUUCAUUUGAAGACAUGCUUGCUCUAUGUUGGUAUGUAUCCAGAGGGCUACACGAUCAAUAAGGAUGAUUUGGAGAAGCAAUGGGUUGCUGAAAGUUUUGUCAGUGACGCCGAGCAUGGUUACUUUAACGAGCUUCUCAGAAGAGGCAUGAUCCAACCGGUAGACACUAACUAUCACGGUGAGGUGUUGUCAUGUACAGUUAACCACAUGGUACUGGAUCUUAUCAGGCACAAAUCCAUGGAGGAUAAUUUCAUCAUUACUGUGAACUAUCUUGAAUCAACUAUAGGGCUUCCUGACAAGGCUCGUCGAUCGUCCAUCCAGUUCGGAGGUGCAAAAAGUGCGAAGAUACCGGAAAGCAUCAGAAUGUCCCAAGUCCGAUCGCUUUUCUUCUGUGGAUUCUCUGGAUGUGUACCUUCCAUUCCGGAUUAUGGCCUUCUUCGAGUUCUAAUUCUUCAUAUUUGGGCUGAUCGAGACAGGAUGAGCUUUGACCUCACUGGAAUCGGUGAACUCUGUCGACUGAGAUAUAUCCAGGUUGAAUGUAAUAUCACUGUCAAUUUGCCAGACAAGAUUCAAGGGUUACGAUACUUGGAGACGCUGCAAGUAGAUGGAAGACUAUCUGCAGUUCCAUCAGAUAUUGGAAAUCUGGAGAAAUUACGGCACCUCCUCCUUCCAAGCCAGGCUAAUGUGAGGGACCUUGGCGGGCUGGUUAACCUCCAGGAUCUUCAUCUCACCUGUUCUACAGUACACCAAGUUGAUAAUCUGGAGGACAACAUGAAAUACCUGGGCACAGUUCUCGAGAAACUCAGCAACCUCAAAUCUCUAACUCUGACAUCUUUAGGCUCAUCCCCCGUAAAUACUUCGAGGAUGAGUAUUUCCUGCCAUGGCUUGAGCAGCGUGUCCCCUGCUCCAGCCCAUCUUGAGAGACUUGAGUUACUGCCGUGGAUUUGCAUCUUUCCGAGCCUCCCAAAGUGGUUGGAAACACUCAGCAAACUCUGCAGUCUAAAGGUAGCAGUUAGAGAAUUCUCGAACAGUGACAUUGAUAUCGUGAAAGGAUUGCCUGCCCUCACUGCUCUCUCGCUAUAUGUCCAGGCAGCACCUGCAGAGAGGAUUUUCUUUGGCAAGGCAGGAUUUUCAGCUCUCAAGUACUUCACGUUGAAGUGCAGUGAACCUUUGCUGAAAUUUGAGGCUGGUGCAAUGCCUAAUCUUCAGAAGCUCAAUCUAGUCUUCAGUGCCCAGGAAGUGCAGCAUGGUGCUGCACCUAUCUGCAUCGAGCACCUGGCAGGGCUUAAAGAGAUCUCCGCAAAAAUUGUGGGUGCAGGUGCUACUGGCACAGAGUCUGCCUUGGGGAUUUAUGUUAGGAAUGAUCCAAAAAACCCGAAAAUCAACGAUCAACUGGUGAACUGGAAGUUCUUUGAGGACGAAGAUAGAAUUAUGGCGCCACCAAGGCAUGCAGGACCGAUUAUAGAAGAACUAGGUGAGAUCCUGGAGGAAAACACAGAAUAUGAGUACGAAGGGGAAGAUGAAAACAGACAGCAACCUGAUAGCGGGAUUUCUACGUUACUGGAGUCGCCGCCUGCGCCACCUUGGAGACCCCCUGAUAGGCGAUAUGGCUGGAGAAUCCUCUCUGUGUGGGCCAGGGCCAGGCCCACCAUGAAAACCGGACCCCAGACCACCUUGAAAGCUGCCUAUGAAGGCAGCGACAGCCUCCCCUGGUGGCACCACCUUGCGCCAUCCAACACUGAUAAUGGGCAACUAACGAUUGCUUUCUUCAUCCAGUCCCUAGCUGUUGUGCAAAAUUUCCUUUAA
RNAcentral lists this ribosomal RNA (2265 nucleotides) under Triticum aestivum (bread wheat). RNAcentral's name for it is "partial small subunit ribosomal RNA". The record is from RNAcentral. Lineage: Eukaryota; Viridiplantae; Streptophyta; Magnoliopsida; Poales; Poaceae.